This 451-nucleotide ribosomal RNA is filed under the name uncultured bacterium. RNAcentral's name for it is "bacterial SSU rRNA". It matches the Rfam family "Bacterial small subunit ribosomal RNA", at positions 29 to 461 of the family's 1533-position model. The record is from RNAcentral.
UUGAACGCUGGCGGCGUGCCUAACACAUGCAAGUCGAGCGGUAACAGGUGUAGCAAUACAUGCUGACGAGCGGCGGACGGGUGAGUAACGCUUGGGAAUCUGCCUGUUAGUGGGGGGACAACCCGGGGGAAACUCGGGCUAAUACCGCAUGACAUCCUGCUUUUGGAAAAGCGGAGAUCAAAGCUGGGGAUCGCAAGACCUGGCGCUUGAAGAGGGGCCCCGCGCCUGAUUAGCUAGUUGGUGAGGUAAUGGCUCACCAAGGCGACGAUCAGUAUCCGGCCUGAGAGGGCGGACGGACACACUGGGGACUGAGACACGGCCCAGGACUCCUACGGGAGCAGCAGUGGGGAAUUGUUCGCAGUGGGCGCAAGCCUGACGACGCAACGCCGCGUGGAGGACGAAGAUCUUCGGGUCGUAAACUCCUGUCGAGCGGGAAGAAACUCAUCGGGUG